AGUAACGCGUGGAUAACCUGCCUCACACUGGGGGAUAACAGUUAGAAAUGACUGCUAAUACCGCAUAAGCGCACAGUACCGCAUGGUACAGUGUGAAAAACUCCGGUGGUGUGAGAUGGAUCCGCGUCUGAUUAGCCAGUCGGCGGGGUAACGGCCCACCAAAGCGACGAUCAGUAGCCGACCUGAGAGGGUGACCGGCCACAUUGGGACUGAGACACGGCCCAA
This 225-nucleotide ribosomal RNA is filed under the name uncultured bacterium. RNAcentral describes it as "partial 16S ribosomal RNA". It matches the Rfam family "Bacterial small subunit ribosomal RNA", at positions 109 to 334 of the family's 1533-position model. The record is from RNAcentral.